This 301-nucleotide ribosomal RNA is filed under the name uncultured bacterium. RNAcentral describes it as "partial 16S ribosomal RNA". It matches the Rfam family "Bacterial small subunit ribosomal RNA", at positions 509 to 808 of the family's 1533-position model. The record is from RNAcentral.
CAGCAGCCACGGUAAUACGUAGGGGGCAAGCGUUGUCCGGAAUUAUUGGGCGUAAAGCGCGCGCAGGCGGUUUUUUAAGUCUGGUGUCUAAGUGCGGGGCUCAACCCCGUGACGCACUGGAAACUGGGAGACUUGAGUGCAGAAGAGGAGAGCGGAAUUCCACGUGUAGCGGUGAAAUGCGUAGAGAUGUGGAGGAACACCAGUGGCGAAGGCGGCUCUCUGGACUGUAACUGACGCUGAGGCGCGAAAGCGUGGGGAGCAAACAGGAUUAGAUACCCCCGUAGUCCCUGUCUCUUAUACC